Molecule: long non-coding RNA, 3091 nt
Filed under: Salmo salar (Atlantic salmon)
Lineage: Eukaryota; Metazoa; Chordata; Actinopteri; Salmoniformes; Salmonidae
Description: lncRNA (ENSSSAG00000099922.1)
Rfam family: mir-29 microRNA precursor family (bases 1434-1503)
Source: RNAcentral
AGUCGGUCGGGGUGGAGUAAAGGUACUGUCUCUCUCAAACACACACACACUACUUAGCAGUGCGACACUUUCUCACAUGGUUGUGGGCUUCCUUUUCUUUACUAGUUUUUGUUGACCGCUGAGAAAGACAUACCCUCUGUGUUUGGUAGAGCAGGAGUCAGAGGAGAGGACAGGAGAGGGGCCAGACUCACCCAGGUGGAUUGAGGUAGGAGUGGACGGAGGGGUCACCCAUGGAGGACGGUCACUCUGAUAUUCCCCACUACUGACCCCCUUGUCUUGCGUCCUGCUUUCUCAGGAAAUGGGAGGCUGUAGAGGAUAUGACAUUCAGUCAGCAGACUAACUGGACAGCUCUACUGUACGCCACAGGGGACAGUCAGCCAACACCCAGCAUUCAGACACCUGUGAUUGACUGUGAGAACCUCUGGGACCAACUGCUAUUAAGCUGUGUUGUCAUGGCAACGGCAUGGUUACGUAAGUGUUUUGGCCUGGUUCUCAUAAUCACAGAGCUCUUUGUGUCCCAGUCGUUUUUUUCGACACUGGACACCCCAGCUGCGAUCUGUUCACUCACUGUACAUUCCUCCACCUGAAUGUGAUAUGAUGAAGAUCAGGUGGGAUCCACAGGUGUGUGUGCUGCCUGCCACGCCCUACGUGAAACACACGUGUGUGUUGGGUGGUCAUGAUGUCAUCGUCAACACUAGCCCCAUUGUAAAUAGAAAUAGGGUUUGGGGAGGUGCAGAGCGGGGUGUCACUCAGUCACAUGGACAGCAGCCUGUGCCCUGCCGUGUCCAUACAUACCUGCAGGACAGGUACAGUAAGCAGGACACAAUAAGGAAGCUAUUGUAAGGCUGAGGCAAGCACUGUCAAACAGGUAAGAUAUCCCGACUAGUGUUUAGUGGCUGUGAGAGUAGUUUGUUUGGUUACUCAUGGAUGUGGAGUGUUUGCCCACACACACACACACACACACACACACACACACACACACACACACUCUGUGGUCAUGUGGUGUUUCUAUGUGUUUUUCCCAGGACCCUUGGCAGGCAGAGAGGUCGCUGAGCUCUGAGAACAACAGUUAGUUGGUUCUACAGUUAAGAGGUAGUGUCCAAAGUGUGGAGGAUGAUGUCACACGUCAGCUGUCCUCAUAGCUGGGCUACCAUGGCAACGACAUUCAUCAGAAUGACUUCCUGCUAAAGCAAAGUACUGUCACGAUCACAUUCUGUACUGACAGAUCACUUUAUACUGAUAAUUAUUGUGUUUGUGUAAGGUUAAGCAUAGAAAUGCUAAGCCAAACGAGUGGACUGUCUUUGUAAAUUUACUUGUCAUCCAUGUCACAACUGCUGCACAGAGUUUCUAAAUAAGCAAAGUAUCCUCCAAAAUCUUUGCUGCUGCCGUGCAUCCACUGCAUCCCUACUGUCCGGCAGGGAAAGUCUUCCCCCAGAGGCUGGUUUCACAUGGUGGUUUAGAUUAAUGUUCCCAGUGUCUAGCACCAUUUGAAAUCAGUGUUCUUGGGGACAGGAGAACAGCACUGUGCCUCUGGUAGUGUCAGUCUACUGGAGCCAUCCUCUCUCUCUCCCCUUUAAAGGAUGACUGAUUUCCUCUGGUGUUUAGAGCCCCUUACAGCCUUCUAGCACCAUUUGAAAUCGGUUAUAAUAACUGGGGAUCAAUGCCUCGAUGUCUUCACGAUGUCUACAUGUCAACUCUACAGUCAAGCAGACAGGAAAUGAAUUGGAUGAAUGUUCAUAUGGUACGUGUCACAGGGUUCUGCUCCACAGAUCCUGGAAUCGAAAUGAGUUGGACGGGAGCUCAUUUCCAGUGGGACAGUUUUAAAGUUUUUAUUGAAUAAAUGUUCAAUAAAACUGAAUUGAUAUUGCAUACUUAUCUUACUUUUUCCUGUGUGUAUGUUAUCACAUUUGUGUCCGUGGUUCUGAACCUGCAUGUGAACUAUAUAACCCUGUUCUGCUAGGUAUAAAACUUAUCCGAGCUCAAGGGAUCAUAACAAGUCUUUUCACAAUACCCUCACUCAUAACAGAUUUAAUCACUGUUAUAUCUAGAAGCACUCAACACAAUCCAACACUUACUUUAUAACGUGAUAAUGGAAACAGGAAAGGCCUUUUAUUGCAGGACUUGUCCCAGACACUGCACAGAACCACAGAAGAUAGCGUCUACUGAGUACGGAAUCUUAAACCGGGAAAGUUCCUGUUCUGUAAUGUGGAUGAAUGAGUUCCAAGGAAGCCUGAUGUUCUCAAUAAGGUUUUAAAGUUGUGGAAGUUUAUCUUAUCUCUGCUCAGUGUCCCUGUCGCCUGUGUUACCAUGUCACUCUCCGGGUCUGACAAGACAUGCAGUGCACAACUGGCAUCUAUUCAUUUAGUGUGUUGUUAGGUGUAGAUAAAGGUGUGGUUGGAUAGGGCGACGGCAUUGAUGGUGGUUAGCAUGGUAGUAUGAACAUGAUCAUGGAUUUGAACUUGGAGACCAUCCCAGAGAAUGCAGUUGAACUGGGAGAGGAAGAGGAGGAGGCAAAGGAAGAAAAAUAAGUGCCUCUCCACAUUCAAGCGCUCCAGUAGUACAACUUGGACCCGAGGUCAUUCUGUGUACAUGAUUAUUAGCUGAGAUACUAUGCAAUUUCAACUCACAUCAUUCUUUUAGAACCUGCCAUUAUUCCAUAAUGAGCUAUUUCCCUCAAAUCAAUGGGGUUUUAAUGGAGCCUAGUUGUCCUAGCAUCUCUCCCAUUGCCCUAGGGCACUGCAGUAGUACACUUUUCCUUUCACCUUGGUGGCCUUGUAUGAGUCAAAUGCAAACAGACAUCAAUGCCACCAAUAUAUUACCUGACUGUAUGGGCGUUUCAACCCCCAUAGGUGAGCUUUUCACAGGUGGUUGGUGGUACCCUAAUUGGGGAAGACACGCUCGUUGUAAUUGUUGGAAUGGAAUGACUGGUAAGAAACACAUCAAACCUGUGUUAUUAUGAGCCAUUCUUCCCUCACCAGCCUCCUGUGGAGCCUGUAUUGGCUAGGUUGAAGACAAAAUAGGUAAGGACAAGUUGCAUUCAUGAAAUUAAACAGAUUCCUGUUUAUUCUAGUUGAUAACAAGCAUCGCCUGG